UUUCCAACAAUUGCACAGUAGAUUUAUUUCUCUUCAUUCCUGUGAGAGAGACAUCCAAAUCCUAACAAAACAGGUCAUUCAGGCAUGGUGCCAUACCUGUAACCCCAACACUUGGAAGAUUCAGGCAGGAGGAUCAGGCAUUCAAGGCCUGCCUCAAACACAGUGAAUAUGAGGCCAGCCUGGGUUACAUGAGACCCUGUCUCAACAACACAAAAUAAAACAAAACAAAACAAAACCCAAGAGUGGAAGGUAGGGAACAGCCCCCUUGGUCGCUAAAACUAGAAAUGUCAACCCACAGGCACAGGUGUGGGCCCAGCCCUAGGGCUUCCUGGGUCCCAAGUCUGUGGAGCUGGGCAGAAGCAGCACCAAUAGCAGGAAGUUCCUCCGGAGCAGAGGCCUGGGGCAGCCUCAGCAGGCAGUGUAGACCAACAUCCACCACAGCCAUGUCCAGCCAGCUUCAGGCCAACAGCCUCCAGACCUCCAAUGACAGGCCACCAGAGGCAGCCACCACUAUGUUGCCCUCAGCACAGAUCUGUGGAACAGUGACAGUGGAAUUAGGGCCUGCCUGGGAUCUUGGUAGGCCAGCAGGCUAUACGAGGCAGGACCUUACCCCAUUUAACACGUUGUGGUGCCUUCGGGUACAGAUGGUCUUAGGUGGAUCUGUGGGCACAUGAACCUAACAGGGACAAGUGGCAGAAGUCAGGGUAUGUGCCCUGGCCAAUUGGGGGUAAGGGGGUCUGCUGGGCCAGU
This 750-nucleotide long non-coding RNA is filed under the name Rattus norvegicus (Norway rat). RNAcentral describes it as "long non-coding RNA NONRATT014587". The record is from RNAcentral. Lineage: Eukaryota; Metazoa; Chordata; Mammalia; Rodentia; Muridae.